Molecule: transfer RNA, 72 nt
Filed under: Toxocara canis (dog roundworm)
Lineage: Eukaryota; Metazoa; Nematoda; Chromadorea; Rhabditida; Toxocaridae
Rfam family: tRNA
About the family: Transfer RNA (tRNA) molecules are approximately 80 nucleotides in length. Their secondary structure includes four short double-helical elements and three loops (D, anti-codon, and T loops). Further hydrogen bonds mediate the characteristic L-shaped molecular structure. tRNAs have two regions of fundamental functional importance: the anti-codon, which is responsible for specific mRNA codon recognition, and the 3' end, to which the tRNAs corresponding amino acid is attached (by aminoacyl-tRNA synthetases). tRNAs cope with the degeneracy of the genetic code in two manners: having more than one tRNA (with a specific anti-codon) for a particular amino acid; and 'wobble' base-pairing, i.e. permitting non-standard base-pairing at the 3rd anti-codon position.
Source: Rfam by way of RNAcentral
CGGGCAGUAGCUUAGUGGUAGAGCUCUCAUUUCCUAUGCGGGAACAUCUGGGUUCGACUCCCGGCUGCUUAC